GUGAAUCAUCGAAUCUUUGAACGCAAAUUGCACUUUCUGGUAUUCAGGAAAGUAUGCAUGUUAGAGGGUCAGUUAAAUAAAAAUCGGUGUUGAUGCUGAUUUUCGUGGUGACGCGUAGGAAUUGAGUUGUCUUACCUUCGGUUAAGUGACUUAAAAUUUUGCAUGAUUUUCGAACGUAUUUAAAUUUCUUACGUACGUGUGAGAUAUCGAAUACUUUAUUAGGGUCGGUCAUCCUCAUGAUUCGCAACUAUAAUUUUUCAUUAAAUGACAGCAAAUCAGGUAGGAGUACCCGCUGAACCGA
RNAcentral lists this unclassified non-coding RNA (301 nucleotides) under Glomus sp. RNAcentral's name for it is "partial contains 5.8S ribosomal RNA, internal transcribed spacer 2, and large subunit ribosomal RNA". The stretch from base 1 to 71 matches the Rfam family "5.8S ribosomal RNA", at positions 84 to 154 of the family's 154-position model. Lineage: Eukaryota; Fungi; Glomeromycota; Glomeromycetes; Glomerales; Glomeraceae. The record is from RNAcentral.